Molecule: long non-coding RNA, 196 nt
Organism: Mastomys coucha (southern multimammate mouse)
Lineage: Eukaryota; Metazoa; Chordata; Mammalia; Rodentia; Muridae
Exons: 2
Source: RefSeq, a predicted model, not a curated record
GACAGAUCAAGAACCAAUUGGGGAAUAGGAACUCAGCAUCAAAAACCACCCCUACAUGUUCUUGCUGAGUGCCCACUGUGUGCAGACUGGAGGGCCUUUGCACAUGAUGGACACUCCUAUUCACUUUUCAGGAACUGCCUACUUUGUCCAUGUAUUCCUUUGGCAUUCAUGAAGAAAAACUCUUUCAAGGUGACAG